GGGGAUGCAAGGCCUCGACAGCCGGACUUUUUCUAAAUAUUCAAAACGCGCUUAGUUACUCGCGCUAAACUGACUAAAAAACAUAAUUGCCAAAACGGCAAGAGCAUUCACUUGGGCUUGCCCGAGCUAUGCUCCAGUUAUGGCCUAAUUAAUAAAGCCAUAGCCAUCGGAAACGGCCAGUCUUCAUAACCGUUUUCCGGUGUCAUUAACAUGAAGAUAGAUACUAUCCGCUCUUUCCGGAAAGAUAUCGAAACAACAGAAAGAUCGUUCCAAUCGCUUUUGUUCGGUUUCUGAUGAUUGGGAUUAAACAACAAAAUCGAUCUAUUUUUGUAAAUGUAUUUAGGUAAACCGACUGGACAUGGGUUCAACUCCCAUCAUCUCCACAU
This 386-nucleotide transfer-messenger RNA is filed under the name bacterium. It matches the Rfam family "transfer-messenger RNA". Rfam says of the family: Bacterial tmRNA, also known as 10Sa RNA or SsrA, is named for its dual tRNA and mRNA-like properties. Its role is to liberate the mRNA from a stalled ribosome. The record is from RNAcentral.